This 871-nucleotide ribosomal RNA is filed under the name Bacillus sp. (in: firmicutes). RNAcentral describes it as "bacterial SSU rRNA". It matches the Rfam family "Bacterial small subunit ribosomal RNA", at positions 144 to 1000 of the family's 1533-position model. The record is from RNAcentral. Lineage: Bacteria; Bacillati; Bacillota; Bacilli; Caryophanales; Bacillaceae.
UAACUCCGGGAAACCGGAGCUAAUACCGGGUAAUACAUAGCAUCGCAUGAUGCAACGUUGAAAGUUGGCCUUUGGCUAACACUGUAGGAUGGGCCCGCGGCGCAUUAGCUAGUUGGUAAGGUAACGGCUUACCAAGGCCACGAUGCGUAGCCGACCUGAGAGGGUGAUCGGCCACACUGGGACUGAGACACGGCCCAGACUCCUACGGGAGGCAGCAGUAGGGAAUCUUCCGCAAUGGACGAAAGUCUGACGGAGCAACGCCGCGUGAGUGACGAAGGCCUUCGGGUCGUAAAGCUCUGUUGUUAGGGAAGAACAAGUACCGUUCGAAUAGGGCGGUACCUUGACGGUACCUAACCAGAAAGCCACGGCUAACUACGUGCCAGCAGCCGCGGUAAUACGUAGGUGGCAAGCGUUGUCCGGAAUUAUUGGGCGUAAAGCGCGCGCAGGCGGUCUCUUAAGUCUGAUGUGAAAGCCCACGGCUCAACCGUGGAGGGCCAUUGGAAACUGGGGGACUUGAGUGCAGAAGAGGAGAGUGGAAUUCCACGUGUAGCGGUGAAAUGCGUAGAUAUGUGGAGGAACACCAGUGGCGAAGGCGGCUCUCUGGUCUGUAACUGACGCUGAGGCGCGAAAGCGUGGGGAGCGAACAGGAUUAGAUACCCUGGUAGUCCACGCCGUAAACGAUGAGUGCUAGGUGUUGGGGGGUUCCACCCUCAGUGCUGAAGUUAACACAUUAAGCACUCCGCCUGGGGAGUACGACCGCAAGGUUGAAACUCAAAGGAAUUGACGGGGGCCCGCACAAGCAGUGGAGCAUGUGGUUUAAUUCGAAGCAACGCGAAGAACCUUACCAGGUCUUGACAUCCUCUGCCACUCC